GACGAACGCUGGCGGCGUGCCUAAUACAUGCAAGUAGAACGCUGAAGGAGGAGCUUGCUUCUCUGGAUGAGUUGCGAACGGGUGAGUAACGCGUAGGUAACCUGCCUGGUAGCGGGGGAUAACUAUUGGAAACGAUAGCUAAUACCGCAUAAGAGUAGAUGUUGCAUGACAUUUACUUAAAAGGUGCAAUUGCAUCACUACCAGAUGGACCUGCGUUGUAUUAGCUAGUUGGUGAGGUAACGGCUCACCAAGGCAACGAUACAUAGCCGACCUGAGAGGGGGAUCGGCCACACUGGGACUGAGACACGGCCCAGACUCCUACGGGAGGCAGCAGUAGGGAAUCUUCGGCAAUGGACGGAAGUCUGACCGAGCAACGCCGCGUGAGUGAAGAAGGUUUUCGGAUCGUAAAGCUCUGUUGUAAGAGAAGAACGAGUGUGAGAGUGGAAAGUUCACACUGUGACGGUAUCUUACCAGAAAGAGACGGCUAACUACGUG
This 495-nucleotide ribosomal RNA is filed under the name uncultured bacterium. Its description in RNAcentral is "partial 16S ribosomal RNA". It matches the Rfam family "Bacterial small subunit ribosomal RNA", at positions 28 to 507 of the family's 1533-position model. The record is from RNAcentral.